AUACGGAGGGUGCAAGCGUUAAUCGGAAUUACUGGGCGUAAAGAGCACGUAGGCGGUUUGCCAAGUCGGGUGUGAAAUACUUCAGCUUAACUGAAGAAUUGCACUUGAAACUGGUAGGCUAGAGUACAGGAGAGGGAAGCGGAAUUCCUAGUGUAGCGGUGAAAUGCGCAGAUAUUAGGAAGAACACCGGUGGCGAAGGCGGCUUCCUGGACUGUUACUGACGCUGAGGUGCGAAAGCUAGGGGAGCGAACAGGAUUAGAAACCCCGGUAGUCC
This 274-nucleotide ribosomal RNA is filed under the name uncultured bacterium. RNAcentral's name for it is "partial 16S ribosomal RNA". It matches the Rfam family "Bacterial small subunit ribosomal RNA", at positions 523 to 796 of the family's 1533-position model. The record is from RNAcentral.